AAAACUUUCAACAACGGAUCUCUUGGUUCUGGCAUCGAUGAAGAACGCAGCGAAAUGCGAUAAGUAAUGUGAAUUGCAGAAUUCAGUGAAUCAUCGAAUCUUUGAACGCACAUUGCGCCCGCCAGUAUUCUGGCGGGCAUGCCUGUCCGAGCGUCAUUUCAACCCUCAAGCCCCCAGCGGCUUGGUGUUGGGGACCGGCGACCUCGCCCGCACCCCCCCCGGUGCAGGCGCCCGCCGCCCCCGAAAUGAAUUGGCGGUCUCGCCGCGGCCUCCCCUGCGUAGUAGCACAACCUCGCAACGGGAGCGCGGCGCGGCCACCGCCGUAAAACGCCCAACUUUUUUCAGAGUUGACCUCGGAUCAGGUAGGAAUACCCGCUGAACUUAAGCAUAUCAAUAAGCGGAGGAAAAGAAACCAACAGGGAUUGCCCCAGUAACGGCGAGUGAAGCGGCAACAGCUCAAAUUUGAAAUCUGGCCCGCAGGGUCCGAGUUGUAAUUUGCAGAGGAUGAUUUUGGCAAGGUGCCUUCCGAGUUCCCUGGAACGGGACGCCACAGAGGGUGAGAGCCCCGUCUGGUCGGACGCCGAGCCUGUGUAAAUCUCCUUCGACGAGUCGAGUAGUUUGGGAAUGCUGCUCUAAAUGGGAGGUAUAUGUCUUCUAAAGCUAAAUACUGGCCAGAGACCGAUAGCGCACAAGUAGAGUGAUCGAAAGAUGAAAAGCACUUUGAAAAGAGGGUUAAAUAGUACGUGAAAUUGUUGAAAGGGAAGCGCUCAUGACCAGACUUGGGCCCGGUGAAUCAACCAGCGUUCUCGCUGGUGCACUUUGCCGGGCUCAGGCCAGCAUCAGUUUGCCCCGGGGGAUAAAGGCUUUGGGAAUGUGGCUCCUCCGGGAGUGUUAUAGCCCACUGCGCAAUAUCCUGGGGCGGACUGAGGUUCGCGCAUCUGCAAGGAUGCUGGCGUAAUGGUCAUCAGCGACCCGUCUUGAAACACGGACCAAGGAGUCGUCUUCGUAUGCGAGUGUUCGGGUGUAAAACCCCUACGCGUAAUGAAAGUGAACGCAGGUGAGAGCUUCGGCGCAUCAUCGACCGAUCCUGAUGUUCUCGGAUGGAUUUGAGUAGGAGCAUACGGGGCCGGACCCGAAAGAAGGUGAACUAUGCCUGUAUAGGGUGAAGCCAGAGGAAACUCUGGUGGAGGCUCGCAGCGGUUCUGACGUGCAAAUCGAUCGUCAAAUAUGGGCAUGGG
RNAcentral lists this ribosomal RNA (1238 nucleotides) under Eucasphaeria sp. INBio_4503O. RNAcentral's name for it is "eukaryotic LSU rRNA". The stretch from base 349 to 1238 matches the Rfam family "Eukaryotic large subunit ribosomal RNA", at positions 1 to 921 of the family's 3401-position model. Lineage: Eukaryota; Fungi; Ascomycota; Sordariomycetes; Hypocreales. The record is from RNAcentral.